UUAAAGAUUUAUUUUAUAUUUUUUUUACAUGUAAAUUUUUGUAUGGAUAUUAAUUGAAUUUUAAUAGUUUAAUUAAAUUGUUUUAUUCGCAGUAUUUAAUUUUAAUAAUUUAAGAAAUUAAGAAUUAGAAAUAAAUUUUAAUAUUAACAAAUUUUGUGCCAGCAGUUGCGGUUAUACAAAAAAUAUAAAUAAAUUUUAUUAGUAAAUAGAUAUAUGGAUUAUUAAUUGAUAAAUUAAAAUUUUAUUUAUUAGGUGAAAUUUUAAAUAAAAAAUUAAUUUAUAAGAAAGUUUUUAAUAUUAUGAAAUUUAUAUUUAAACUAGGAUUAGAUACCCUAUUAUUUUAAAUGUAAAAUAAAUUAUUAAAGUAGUAUUAGUUAUGUUCUUGAAAUUUAAAGAUUUUGGCGGUAUUUUAGUCUAUUUAGAGGAACCUGUUCUAUAAUUGAUAAUCCACGAUUAACUUUACUUAUUUUAUAAAUUUGUAUACCGUCGUUAUUAGAAAAUUUUAAUAGAAAAUAAAUUUUUAAUAUUUUAUAUUAAUAAAUAUAUCAGAUCAAGGUGCAGUAUAUAUUUAAGAAGAAAUGGGUUACAAUAAAAAUAUUUAUAUGAAUUAAAAUAGGAAUCUAUUUUAUAAAAGUGGAUUUAAUAGUAAUAAAAUUCAUUUAAAUUUUAUGAUUUUGGCUCUAAAAUAUGUACAUAUCGCCCGUCGCUCUUAUUAUAAGAUAAGAUAAGUCGUAACAUAGUAGAUGUACUGGAAAGUGUAUCUAGAAUGCC
Molecule: non-coding RNA, 771 nt
Filed under: Pterostichus madidus
Lineage: Eukaryota; Metazoa; Arthropoda; Insecta; Coleoptera; Carabidae
Source: RNAcentral